UGUGUAGAGAUAUAUAUAUUCCCUUUUUUUCACCAUUCUACAAAGACCCGGAAAGUGCUGGGAAAAUUGCAUAAAGAGAUUGUAGAGGGUUGACAGAAUCGUAUAUAAAAAUAUAUAUUCUGUCUGGUCUGUCAAUAUCAAUUCCCAUCAUCUCUGUGAUACAUUUAAUAUUUAUUGAUUGGAAUGCUGGAAGUUGAAUAAAUUCCUGGUGGGAAAGGACUGGGAUGUUCUACCCCAAGAUACUCAAUUUCUCGCCUUGAGAGUAUGUUCUUGACAUUGUCGAGAUCUUGGGGUGAUUUUAUUAACAAUUGAGAUUGAUUAAUGAUUGCCAAAUAAAUCUUACUCAGAAAGGCACGAAUCUUCCCAAUUCUUCAAGUGUUUAAUCACACUUUGAGCAUUGGGAAGUUUUUCAUUUCCUGGAGGAGAGAGAGCCGGGGUGCGAAAGAUAGAUAUUUCCAGAGAAGUCUCCUUGAGACUUUCAGCCACAGGCAAAACUUUCAAUUGCUCAGACUUAUCAAAAAACUGAACGAAAACACCAACAAUGGACUUCUUAGCUAAAAGGGCUCACAAAGGAAUCCUACUGUAGCUAGAAGAAAAGGAUUCUUCUGGACAAAUUUUCUCAACUUCUUCAGAAACUUCCUGUGCAGUCUCUACAAUACUGAGCAGCAUCCUUAUCAAGUCAUACUGUUGGUUCAUUUCUCAAAUAUCCCUUUUUCGAAUUAAGCGGAAAAUUCUACGAAAGAAAAAUGAUAAAAAGUAAGUGACUGACAAUGGCAUACAUUUAAUUUGCAUGGAAACCCAGGGAAAAAUUCCUCGUGUGUGGAAGAAAUGAUGUGGGAAUUAUUUAAAAAUAUUCACAUACACAUCAGAGAGAGAAAAUCUAUGGGGAUUCAUACUAAAAGCCAUAUAGAUAAGCUUUUUUGUGCUACGGGGACUUGUGAUUUUUUCAUUGCAAUUUUGGUUUGUUUGCAAUAAGCAAUUCAUAUUUAAUGCAUUGUCGUAAAAUUCUACUAUUACUCUACUUCAGAGGCGUGCAAGAACCGUUGAAACCGAAUUAACGUCAAAUGAAACAUGUACGUCAAUGGUCAAAACGCUACUAAUAACAAACUUAUUUUGACGUUACAGUAGAGUCUCGCUAUAGGCCAUCGCUCUAUAGUCCACCAUUUAUCGACCGUUAAUUUCAAAACACUGAUUUUAAGUUAGGUUAUGUCUUUUAGUAUGCGACAUGCAUAAUUAUUUUAAUAUUUUUGGCAAACUUAAUUGAGUAGUUGUGAUAAUUGUGAUCCACAAUGAAGAGAGCAGAGAAAGUGGAAGCCGUCGAGCAAUUUCAAUACUAAAAAUCGUUGAUAAUUUAAAAAAUGACAUGGACUAUAGUGCGACCCAAGUGUCAAAUUUGAAACCAAAUAUGGACUAUAGCGAGACUCUACUAUAAUUCGGUUUUUGCACACCUCUGCUCUACUUUCUACUAUUAUUUUUAAUUUUACAGCAAAGUUUAAAUAAAUAGAGUUAAAAGUGGAAUAAUUCUGCUAUUUAAAAAAAGAACAUGUUUUUUAGCACAUGACUGUUCUCAAAUGCUUCUGCAUUAUCGACUUGUAUUUGUGUUGGUUCGUAUUACUACUGUUUUGAGAUUUUAAAACAUAGCGAGUACUGAGAGCAACAAUCGUGGCAGGACCUGUACGAAGAAAAGUCGAUAAUGUUGAAGUAUUUGAGAACAGUAAAGUGUUAAAAAAUAUGUUCAUUUUUCAUUGGAAUAGCACCAUUAUAAGUAAUGAAAAAAUGGCAAAGCGUUCCCACUUUGCGUAGUGUUCGAACUCACGAGAUAGAAUUCUUCAUGCAUUAUAUUUUUCACAUAAUUCUUAUAUGUCCAUGCGGGUUGAAUAUCACUUUAAACUAGAAAUAAUUUCAAAAUUGACAUUUGCUGAUAAAUAUUGCAUAUUUUAAAGAAUUCUGUAGAGCUUAAAUUUUUCGCCUUAUAAUAAAUAACAUUGAAUUUACCUUCAUUUGCCUAAAGGUGUCUACACAUUUUUGAGUAAUUUUCGUCAAAAAUUGCGUUUUUGACAGAAAUUUGACGUUUCCCCCUACAACGCUGCAGGGAAUUUCCUUCAAAAAAGCAAUUUUUAACAAAAAUUGCUCCCAAUGUGUAGAGGCCAUAAAUUACAAUCUACUAAUAAGUGUUGAGAAUAGGGCUACGCUUAAUGGGCUAACUUUUUAAUCCCAACUCUCAAGCCAUUUUGAUAUCUACUCUGAAAAAAAUGUGUCUUGUUAAACGAAUAAAUGGAUUUUGUUGAAAUUUUGUCAAAAGGAUGUUAUUUACCAAUUUGACAAAACACUUUCUUGCAUUUUAUAUGGAAAAACACCCUUUUGACAAACUUUUAACAAGAUCCAGUUGGCCGCCGACUUGACAAAACUUUUCCAUAUUCUGUAUAGAAGAACAUCCUUUUUACAAACUUGUCUUGUUAAUUUGACAAAACAUUAUUUUCAGAGUAAAAGACCUAUGGACUACCUAUGGAUAAUCUAUUUUCGUCGGAAACAUCAAUGCCAAGUUGUCGAUCUGGGCACCACGCAGAGCUGUCUCCUUCUUCCCAUUGUAUCCGCGCCACGGAAAGAACGGUGCUGGCCAAUCCGAUUAAGAAACAUCUCUGUGACUUUGUACGUAGACAUAUAGGUCCUGAAUUGACAGGAUUCUUACUGUGUUAUCACACUUGCACAUUAACAUUUUAAUAUGAUUCACAUUAGUUGUCGCUGGUGAGAGUCCAAAUGUAUAAUUUGUGUGUUCGAAUCAUUUUAUAUUCAAAAUUUGAUCUAUUUGUUGAUAAAAAGGUAGACUUGACCCGCAAAAUUUGAUAUAAAUUGAUUUAUAGCAUUAAUGCGAAAAAUUAAUGCGAUUUUCUCUUUAAUUUUUUAAUGUGAAAAAUAUUUAUGCUUUAUGUAAAUAUAAACUUAUUUUUGCAAGCCAAGUCCACUUCUUUAUCAAUAAAUAGAAAAACCCCAAAUAUUGAGUGACUCAAAGACACAAAUAACAUAUCUGGAUGCUCACAAGCGACAAUUAAUGUAAAUCACAUUAAAAUUUUAAUGUGCAAGUGUGAUAACGCCUUUAGUUUCUCAACUAAUGGCCUUGGUGUGUGUGGUCGUGGUCCUCGUGGCCAUAUAUUUAACUACCGUUGGGCUGUUAUCUCUUAUCAGUCACCUGUUAGCAAACUAUUUGGUUAAACCUAGCAAUAUUUCAGUAAUUUCAGUGUAUCAAAUAGGAUUCUAAUGGCUCCGGCACACCUAUUAGAUCGAUCAAAUUGCACGAAAUCGAAAUUCGCAUCCUUUUCUUUCUCGAAAGGUUUCCAUAAGUCUGUCCCACUCUUUCUAACUCCAAAUUGGACUGAACUAAAUUUAAUUUGGUGUGAUGUUCAAAAGAAGAAGAAGAGUGUGAAAGAGUAGGAUAGACAUAUGCAAAACUUUUAAGAAAGGUAUGUGAAUUAUGAUUUAAUGAAAUUUUCCUGAUCUAAAAGGUGUGCCGAAGCCAUAAGGAAGACUUUAAGUCUGAAGAAAUGUGAUUGAUGCACAACAGUCAAUCAAAGCACAGCAUUACAAUAGCUGUGAGAGUGAAAGAAUCAGAGUUAAAUUCACUGAGAGUUUAUUCACCUGCUUUGAGAGAUUUUUCAGCUUUUCAAGAACCUCUCCUGAAAGGUAGACUGUCCUCCGGGAGCUACAAUGUUUGAACUAUACAAAUCCUAUUCCUAUAUCUUUCCAUAAUCUCCCAUAUAUUGUUCAAUAUAAACAACUAUGAAUUUUAAAUUUUGAAAGAACUCUGAGAGUUUCUUGGGGAAUGUAAAAGACUUUCUCAAGUAAAAUGUUUAAUCUUUAAUACACAAAUAUUGUAAGUACAACAUGGCUUCAAGUAUACAAUGUUAACAAUGUAAAAUAAAAUACAAACAGUAAAUACUUGUCAUUCAAUUCAACCUAUUUUUAUGUGAAAUUUUCUUAGGAAAAAUAUGUUGGGAUGAAUGUAAAUUUUAAUCCCUUGAAUAAGCAGCACCUAUUGCAAAGAUAGUUUAUUUGUAAAAGCUAAAGUAUUCACUAAUGAUUACCCGAUUGUUUUGAGGGUUUUGAGCUAGGUUAGUUGUCGGUUCUAAUAGGGGCGUGAUCUAAUAUUGUUCAAAAGGGGACGAGGCGGAGCUUAUUCGUAAAUGUAAUACUAUCUCCCUGUAAGAAUAAAAUAUGAUCAUGUGAAA
Phlebotomus papatasi is the source of this 4223-nucleotide long non-coding RNA. RefSeq lists it as uncharacterized. Lineage: Eukaryota; Metazoa; Arthropoda; Insecta; Diptera; Psychodidae. The record is from RefSeq and is a predicted model, not a curated record. The transcript is spliced from 2 exons.